GGCAGUGAUGGCUCAGUGGUUAAAGGCUUUGGGUUACUGAUCUGAAGGUCAUGAGUUCAAGCCCCAGCACGGACA
Non-coding RNA from Ameiurus melas (black bullhead), 75 nucleotides. The record is from the annotation of a GenBank genome assembly. NCBI's taxonomy places the organism in Eukaryota, Metazoa, Chordata, Actinopteri, Siluriformes, Ictaluridae.